CAGCUCGGUUGAAUGCGGAUGGUAAACUCGGAAAGUGAUCAUUUUAAAGUUUCGCCUUAUGUAACAAAAUGUUGGUAUGUUCAAUGAUCAAAUUCAUUAGAGCAACAGACAAAUGGGUGCUAGGUACAAGAAAACAAGUUGAAAAGUUUUUUAAAGGUCAAUGUAUUUGACGUACUUGCACGGCGAAAACGAAACGAAAGCAAGUUUUACAUUUGAGCUGCCUACUGCCGAAGAGUUGGUAUUCUGUUCCUCAUGUUCAUGCGGAAAUCUGUCAAACUCCAUAUAAAUAAAAAACGUAGCAGCUAAAAAUAUGUGUAAAAAAUAAAAGCAUUUUUUAGCUAAUGGCUUAAAAUGAGCAUUUAAAACAAAUAAUCGUAGUGUUAUAUGAAGAUUGCGAUAAUACAAAAAACAUCAUGUAAUUAUGUUUAAAAAAAAUGAUUAAAGUUUUUCACAACUAUUCCGAAAGCAGAACAGAAUACUCCGCUUUAAAGAGACUAUAUUGAUUUGGAAAACAACGUGAUCUAGAUUUCGUGGUAUUGUGCGCAAAACGCUAAGAUUGGUAUAUAUCUGCGAAAACUUGAACGUCUACCUCGACGAACUUGCCUCACAUUUCGCUGUAAGAAAUCUGAAGAUAUCUGCCACCAAAACUUCAGCCACAUUCUUCAAUACAAAUACGCGUGAGGUGAAUACCAAGCUGACUGUGAUGGUCGAUGGAGGAAUGGUUUCGACCAUCAAGUGUCCCAAAAUACUUGGCGUCACAUUUGACAGCUCUUACACAUUCUCCUCACGUCACAGCAAUUUGCAAUAAAGUCAAAAGUAGAAACAAGGUCCUCAAGUCACUUGUCGGUCUAUAGUAAGUUAUGCAGCGCCAGUGUGGUCUCGUCAGCUUUGUGGAACACAAUGGAAUAAUAUUCACAUCUGUCAGAAUGCAGCCAUCCGAACUGCGACGGGCUGUCUCCUCAGUUCUCAUGUGGACCACCUCCAUCAGGAGACAAAGAUCCUUCCAUUGCGAAGACAUAGCUAGAUGCUGUCCAAGCAAUACAUUUUGGGCUGUUAUCGCAGAGGCAUAUCAAGUGGGUCUAGACAACAUUCAUGCAGACACGGUGGCAGGUAGUCCUUGGAGAACGAUCGCCUCCCAUUGCACCUGAAGAAAUUGACCUCCCCCUGCAAACCAGUGUAGUUCUGGCUCAAUUACGUUCCGGCAGAAGCAGACGCCUCAAUUCCUACAGAACAAAGGUUGAUGCCGACGUGCACACCACACGAUACACGUCACCUUUCUAACUGCCCAGCCAGACUAACUCGACUCAGACACAGAUCCCUCUGGACGCAUCCCAUCAUAGUCCCAGAGUUCCUGGAUCUUGACACUUAACAGAACAGACGAAAGCUAAAACACAACAAACUGCUACAACAACAACAACAUUGACGGUAUCCACGACAAUAAAGAGAGGCUAACACAGGAAAGAC
Molecule: long non-coding RNA, 1464 nt
Organism: Stomoxys calcitrans (stable fly)
Lineage: Eukaryota; Metazoa; Arthropoda; Insecta; Diptera; Muscidae
Exons: 3
Source: RefSeq, a predicted model, not a curated record